GAUGAACGCUGGCGGCGUGCCUAAUACAUGCAAGUCGAACGGAGAUUGUAGCAAUACGGUCUUAGUGGCGAACGGGUGAGUAACGCGUUGGUAACCUGCCCCGAAGCGUGGGAUAACGGUCCGAAAGGACCACUAAUACUACAUGUGAUCCCGAGGAAUAGAUACUUGGGAUGAAAGGAGCAAUUCGCUUCGGGAGGGACCUGCGUCCCAUCAGCUAGUUGGUAGGGUAACGGCCUACCAAGGCGAUGACGGGUAGGGGACCUGAGAGGGUGGCCCCCCACAAUGGAACUGAAACACGGUCCAUACACCUACGGGUGGCAGCAGUAGGGAAUAUUGGUUAAUGUGCGAAAGCGCGAACCAGCAACGCCGCGUGUGCGAUGAAGGCCUUCGGGUCGUAAAGCACUUUUUGCAGGGAAGAGGAAGGACGGUACCUGCAGAAUAAGUCUCGGCUAACUACGUG
RNAcentral lists this ribosomal RNA (460 nucleotides) under uncultured bacterium. Its description in RNAcentral is "bacterial SSU rRNA". It matches the Rfam family "Bacterial small subunit ribosomal RNA", at positions 28 to 507 of the family's 1533-position model. The record is from RNAcentral.